RNAcentral lists this transfer RNA (71 nucleotides) under Ornithorhynchus anatinus (platypus). It matches the Rfam family "tRNA". From Rfam's summary of the family: Transfer RNA (tRNA) molecules are approximately 80 nucleotides in length. Their secondary structure includes four short double-helical elements and three loops (D, anti-codon, and T loops). Further hydrogen bonds mediate the characteristic L-shaped molecular structure. tRNAs have two regions of fundamental functional importance: the anti-codon, which is responsible for specific mRNA codon recognition, and the 3' end, to which the tRNAs corresponding amino acid is attached (by aminoacyl-tRNA synthetases). tRNAs cope with the degeneracy of the genetic code in two manners: having more than one tRNA (with a specific anti-codon) for a particular amino acid; and 'wobble' base-pairing, i.e. permitting non-standard base-pairing at the 3rd anti-codon position. The record is from Rfam by way of RNAcentral. Lineage: Eukaryota; Metazoa; Chordata; Mammalia; Monotremata; Ornithorhynchidae.
GGUAGUGUAGUCUAAUUGGAAAAGACGGGCCUGGGAAUCAUAGGACUUGGGUUCUAAUCCCAGCUCUGCCC